This is a long non-coding RNA of Cairina moschata (Muscovy duck), 820 nucleotides long. The record is from Ensembl. Lineage: Eukaryota; Metazoa; Chordata; Aves; Anseriformes; Anatidae.
CAAUGAUGCAAGCAACACUUCCUAUUUCAGUUAACUGAAAUUGCUCAACAAUUACAGCACCUUCCUCCCCUUUCACACGCAGCCCAGCAGCCCACAGACGUCUGGGCAGAAGCCGCCUUUCACAAGAGCCAUGGUACAAGGGAAACCUUCCUGGCGCUUGUUAACAAUUCCAAUCUAAUCCCACUCACCAGGAAAACCACAACUGUUACCGCCUCGGGGCUUCUGCAGUUGGACCAAGUAACUCCAGUGCAGUUCCUCGUCAGUAAAUGUGUAAUCUGCAAAGCAACUGUUGCAGGUGGCGUUAGCUGAUGUACUUCGUCGCCUAGUGAGCAAAGAAAUGCAGGAUUAGGAAAACACGGAGUCUGAAUUCAGCUUUAAAAGGCAGGAUGGCCCAAAGACUAGAGGUGAAGGAGAAAGAGGAAAAGCUAAGAGCCCCAAAACCGCUUCAGUCUGACCCAGAUAUGCACAAGGAUUCCCCUCCACACCUCCUAAAACUCAAAAAGGAUUCCCCUUUUACCUUUCAUGUUCACUUAGCAUGACGUGUUCUGCUGUGGUGCUACAAUGUGGAGCCAGACAGACUGAAGGUGGUGAAGAGAAAGUGAGGUAUCUUGCUUGAUCGAAUGGUACCAGUACUUCAGGUAUGUUUGACAGUCACUCAGUUGGUAUCUGAUUGACAUUUACUGAGUUCACUCCUAGUAAUUCAAGGGAAACCUUUUUCUCUUUUGUGUUGUGAUGCCCAUAGCCAACAGGAGCCUUGAGAUGAGUUCCUCUCCUCAGAAGUGUGAUUGCUGGCAAUGCAUUUUCAUACCGGCUUUUGGAA